Macaca mulatta (Rhesus monkey) is the source of this 46-nucleotide non-coding RNA. The record is from Rfam. Lineage: Eukaryota; Metazoa; Chordata; Mammalia; Primates; Cercopithecidae.
AUACAGGCUUUUUUUAAGGCCACUUAUUGAUAGAGUCCCACUGUGU